This 436-nucleotide ribosomal RNA is filed under the name uncultured Alphaproteobacteria bacterium. RNAcentral describes it as "bacterial SSU rRNA". It matches the Rfam family "Bacterial small subunit ribosomal RNA", at positions 9 to 494 of the family's 1533-position model. The record is from RNAcentral. Lineage: Bacteria; Pseudomonadati; Pseudomonadota; Alphaproteobacteria.
GAGUUUGAUCGUGGCUCAGAACGAACGCUGGCGGCAGGCCUAACACAUGCAAGUCGAACGCUCCGCAAGGGGAGUGGCGCACGGGUGAGUAACGCGUAGGAAUCUACCUGAUAGUUCGGGAUAACAGCGGGAAACUGCUGCUAAUACCGGAUACGCCCUGAGGGGAAAGUUUCUUCGCUAUCAGAUGAGCCUGCGUUGGAUUAGUUAGUUGGUGGGGUAAUGGCCUACCAAGACUCCGAUCCAUAGCUGGUCUGAGAGGACGACCAGCCACACUGGGACUGAGACACGGCCCAGACUCCUACGGGAGGCAGCAGUGGGGAAUAUUGGACAAUGGGCGCAAGCCUGAUCCAGCCAUGCCGCGUGAAUGAUGAAGGCCUUAGGGUUGUAAAGUUCUUUCGGUAGUGAAGAUGAUGACAGUAGCUACAGAAGAAGCCCC